This 438-nucleotide ribosomal RNA is filed under the name uncultured Leptolinea sp. RNAcentral describes it as "bacterial SSU rRNA". It matches the Rfam family "Bacterial small subunit ribosomal RNA", at positions 929 to 1382 of the family's 1533-position model. Lineage: Bacteria; Bacillati; Chloroflexota; Anaerolineae; Anaerolineales; Anaerolineaceae. The record is from RNAcentral.
GCAGCGGAGCGUGUGGUUUAAUUCGAGGCUACGCGAAGAACCUUACCUGGGUUUGACAUAUGAGUGGUAGGAACCGAAAGGCGACCGACCUUCGGGGAGCUUGCACAGGUGCUGCAUGGCUGUCGUCAGCUCGUGUCGUGAGAUGUUCGGUUAAGUCCGCUAACGAGCGCAACCCUCGCUGUGUGUUACAAGUGUCACACGGUACUGCCGGUCUUAAGCCGGAGGAAGGUGGGGAUGACGUCAAGUCAGCAUGGCCUUUAUGUCCUGGGCUACACACACGCUACAAUGGCCAACACAAUAGGUUGCUAAGCCGCGAGGUGGAGCCAAUCCUCAAAGUUGGUCUCAGUUCAGAUUGCAGGCUGCAACCCGCCUGCAUGAAGAUGGAGUUGCUAGUAACCGCAGGUCAGCUAUACUGCGGUGAAUACGUUCCCGGGGCUU